GACGAACGCUGGCGGCGUGCUUAACACAUGCAAGUCGAACGGAAAUGCCCUGCUUUUGUGGGGUGCUCGAGUGGCGAACGGGUGAGUAACACGUGAGUAACCUGCCCUUGACUUUGGGAUAACUUCAGGAAACUGGGGCUAAUACCGGAUAGGAGCUCCUGCUGCAUGGUGGGGGUUUGAAAGUUUCGGCGGUUGGGGAUGGACUCGCGGCUUAUCAGCUUGUUGGUGGGGUAGUGGCUUACCAAGGCUUUGACGGGUAGCCGGCCUGAGAGGGUGACCGGCCACAUUGAGAAUGAGAAACGGCCCAGACGCCUAAGGGAAGAAGCAGUGGGGAAUAGUGCACAAUGGGCGGAAGCCUGAUGCAGAAACGCCGCGUGCGGGAUGACGGCCUUCGGGUUGUAAACCGCUUUCGCCUGUGACGAAGCGUGAGUGACGGUAAUGGGUAAAGAAGAACCGGAUAACUACGUG
RNAcentral lists this ribosomal RNA (468 nucleotides) under uncultured bacterium. Its description in RNAcentral is "partial 16S ribosomal RNA". It matches the Rfam family "Bacterial small subunit ribosomal RNA", at positions 28 to 507 of the family's 1533-position model. The record is from RNAcentral.